AUAGAGUUUGAUCCUGGCUCAGAUUGAACGCUGGCGGCAGGCCUAACACAUGCAAGUCGAGCGGAAACGAGUUAUCUGAACCUUCGGGGAACGAUAACGGCGUCGAGCGGCGGACGGGUGAGUAAUGCCUAGGAAAAUGCCUUGAUGUGGGGGAUAACCAUUGGAAACGAUGGCUAAUACCGCAUAAUGCCUACGGACCAAAGAGGGGGACCUUCGGGCCUCUCGCGUCAAGAUAAGCCUAGGUGGGAUUAGCUAGUUGGUGAGGUAAUGGCUCACCAAGGCGACGAUCCCUAGCUGGUCUGAGAGGAUGAUCAGCCACACUGGAACUGAGACACGGUCCAGACUCCUACGGGAGGCAGCAGUGGGGAAUAUUGCACAAUGGGCGCAAGCCUGAUGCAGCCAUGCCGCGUGUAUGAAGAAGGCCUUCGGGUUGUAAAGCACUUUCAGCAGUGAGGAAGGGGG
RNAcentral lists this ribosomal RNA (462 nucleotides) under Vibrio pelagius. Its description in RNAcentral is "bacterial SSU rRNA". It matches the Rfam family "Bacterial small subunit ribosomal RNA", at positions 1 to 454 of the family's 1533-position model. The record is from RNAcentral. Lineage: Bacteria; Pseudomonadati; Pseudomonadota; Gammaproteobacteria; Vibrionales; Vibrionaceae.